UGGAAACGACUGCUAAUACCGCAUAAGCCCACGGUACCGCAUGGUACUGAGGGAAAAGGAUUUAUUCGCUUUAGGAUGGACUCGCGUCCAAUUAGCUAGUUGGUGAGGUAACGGCCCACCAAGGCGACGAUUGGUAGCCGGACUGAGAGGUUGAACGGCCACAUUGGGACUGAGACACGGCCCAGACUCCUACGGGAGGCAGCAGUGGGGGAUAUUGCACAAUGGGGGAAACCCUGAUGCAGCGACGCCGCGUGGAGGAAGAAGGUUUUCGGAUUGUAAACUCCUGUCGUUAGGGACGAUAUUGACGGUACCUAACAAGAAAGCACCGGCUAACUACGUGCCAGCAGCCGCGGUAAAACGUAGGGUGCAAGCGUUGUCCGGAAUUACUGGGUGUAAAGGGAGCGCAGGCGGGAAGACAAGUUGGAAGUGAAAACCAUGGGCUCAACCCAUGAAUUGCUUUCAAAACUGUUUUUCUUGAGUAGUGCAGAGGUAGAUGGAAUUCCCGGUGUAGCGGUGGAAUGCGUAGAUAUCGGGAGGAACACCAGUGGCGAAGGCGGUCUACUGGGCACCAACUGACGCUGAGGCUCGAAAGCAUGGGUAGCAAACAGGAUUAGAUACCCUGGC
Molecule: ribosomal RNA, 624 nt
Filed under: uncultured bacterium
Lineage: Bacteria
Description: bacterial SSU rRNA
Rfam family: Bacterial small subunit ribosomal RNA
Source: RNAcentral